This 433-nucleotide ribosomal RNA is filed under the name uncultured bacterium. RNAcentral describes it as "partial 16S ribosomal RNA". It matches the Rfam family "Bacterial small subunit ribosomal RNA", at positions 28 to 507 of the family's 1533-position model. The record is from RNAcentral.
GACGAACGCUGGCGGCAUGCCUAACACAUGCAAGUCGAACGAGACCUUCGGGUCUAGUGGCGCCCGGGUGCGUAACGCGUGGGAACCUGCCCUGAGGUUCGGAAUAACUCCCCGAAAGGGGUGCUAAUACCGGAUAAUGUCUUCGGACCAAAGAUUUAUCGCCUUUGGAUGGGCCCGCGUUGGAUUAGCUAGUUGGUAGGGUAAAAGCCUACCAAGGCGACGAUCCAUAGCUGGUCUGAGAGGAUGAUCAGCCACACUGGGACUGAGACACGGCCCAGACUCCUACGGGAGGCAGCAGUGGGGAAUAUUGGACAAUGGGCGAAAGCCUGAUCCAGCAAUGCCGCGUGAGUGAUGAAGGCCUUAGGGUUGUAAAGCUCUUUUACCCGGGAUGAUAAUGACAGUACCGGGAGAAUAAGCUCCGGCUAACUCCGUG